CCUACGGGAGGCAGCAGUGGGGGAUAUUGCACAAUGGGGGAAACCCUGAUGCAGCGACGCCGCGUGAGGGAAGACGGUUCUCUGAUUUUAAACCUCUUUCUUUGGGGGCGAAUUGAAACGGUACCCAAGGAUGAAGCUCCGGCUAACUACGUGCCAGCAGCCGCGGUACUACGUGGGGAGCGAGCGUUUUCCGGAAUUACUGGGUGUAACGGGAGCGUAGGCGGGAUAGUAAGUUGAUGGUUAAAACUAGCGGCUCAACUGGUGGAUGCGAUCGAAACAGCAAGUCUUGAGUGAAGUAGAGGCAGGCGGAAUUCCUGGUGUAGCGGUGAAAUGCAUAGAUAUUAGGAGGAACGCC
RNAcentral lists this ribosomal RNA (355 nucleotides) under uncultured bacterium. RNAcentral describes it as "partial 16S ribosomal RNA". It matches the Rfam family "Bacterial small subunit ribosomal RNA", at positions 338 to 710 of the family's 1533-position model. The record is from RNAcentral.